CACUUGUGUCAAAGUCAAGGCCCGGGGGCCGGAUCCGGCCCUCCAGUGAUGCGUUCAAAGACCCUCUCAGGAGGACUAACCAGUCGGUUAAACUGAUGUUGCUGCUGAGUCUUCUGGAGUCUGGAGGACGCCGCAGGUCAGAGACUCUCCCCAGAAGAAACUAAAGACGAAACCUUCAAACCGAUCUAAACCGGUUUCAGUGGAUGUUAAGUCUGGUCCUUUUCUCAGCUGAACAUCCUGUGGAUCAUUAGGCUCCCACCAGGUAAAGGUGACAACUUGUGCGAGUGACACGCUCCGCCGCUGACCUCUCUGCGCUUUGAAGCGAUAACAAACCUUGAUGUGUGGAGCCGAGUGAGAGGAGGAGAACCAAAGAGGAAAGCAGGAGGUGCUGAAAGGAGAAGCAGGGCCUCUGGGAGGAAAACCCACUUCUCCAGACUUCAGAAGACAUUCACAUUUUAACGUUUCUUUUAAUCUUCAUAACAUGUCAGCGUGUUUCAUCUGCUCUGGUGUGUACUGUAUUUGUCAUCACUUGUUCUUAAAUAUGGAAAACGUUCGACUGGAGAUGUAGUUUCUCUUCAGAUGGUUCCUGGAGUUCACUUCAGUGAUGUGUCCGUCAUCAGAGUUAACGUUCAAAGUGAUGAAACCCUGCUGAGCUUUACUUCACUGAAAUCUGACUCCACAUGAGCUUCAGGAUCAGUUUGACCUGAAAAAAUGACAAGAUUCCCUGAAAUAGAUCCAAACUAGCUGUGCCUCCAAGUUGUGCAAACUGGAUUUGUGAUUCUGUCUGAUAAAAACACGUCAAUUUUAAAAAAACAAACUCACAUUUAUAGAAAGAAUGUUUUUGAUCUUGAGAAGUUGGUUUUUUAAGCGUAUCGAAAUUGACAUUCAGCAAAACUGAAAUAGAACCUUUUUUGGAUCGAAUGAGUCACAUGACCCAAGUCCAGCUGUGCAGGACAUUGGCGGCUGCACAGCUUAUCGUGGUGUCUGGUAUCAACUGGAGCGUCCGGUAUCCACGGUGGAUACAGGAUCCAUGUGGAUUUGUUGGAUCCACAGCUCCUUUUUAAAAUCACCCAUCACGAUUUCCAAAACUCACGUCAUCCGUAGCCACUCCCACGUUGCUCGCCGCUCCGUGGCCUGAAUAUAAUACGACGUCUCCUUUGAUAGAAGAUGAUGAGCUCUAGUGAUGUGGCAGAAACUUGAAUGCAUCUACUUUAAUUCUAAACGACUUAUCGUGUUGGUUUAUGUUUAUUCAAAUAAUUAGGAUUUAAUGAAAACAUUGCAACUGCAAAACUGUUUUUUUUUUGCAUUUCUUAAAUUUUUUUGAACAUAUGUGUCAUGGGAAUGUAAUUAAUAAAAGAAACAGAAUUUAUUUUUCCAAACAGUUUACGUCCACAUCAGAAAACCAAGAUAAUGACCAAACAUACGCUCCAUGAAAUACAUCUUUUUAGGUUUCCCUCCAUAAGAAUUGAUCAUAAAUGUUCCUCUCUGCUCGUGUUCUGAUGAACUCCAUGGUUUCUACAGUCAAACGUAUAGAAAAUGGUUCUGUCCUUUCAUUUGUCCCGUUUGUCCCGCUCCAGACCAGAACCUGAGCGGUUGCUGACUUCCUGUGUGCAGCUGUGCUUUAGUGCUUGUUAAAUAAACAGGUUGGUGAGGUUACUCACUGUAAUAUUUCAGCAGCUCGAGCAUCUCAAUCAGAAGAAAAACGGAGGUCUGGGGUUCACAGUUGGUAAAUAAAACAGGUCUGGAGUUGAUCGAACGACGUACUGAGAUUCAUACGAUCUCUGUAGGUUUUAAAGGACUUUUAGAUUUCCAAUGAGCAGCAGGUUUACAGUCACACGAGUCGGCACAGAUUUCAUCAAAGUUUUUACACUCAUUACAAUUUUCUGGAGAUUUAAAAAGAUCAAACCACUUUAAUAAUCUUGAGAAAGUUCAAUGAGAGAAUAAAAAUGUAACCCAGUACCAUCAAGGCUGAAACACCGGCCCAUGCUUUUAUUGUGGUGGGGCCUAACUCCAUUUAAGUUCUAAGUUGAUGAAUGCACUUCCUGCUGCCGCCGCCACCAGGCCACCUCUCCUUCGAUACCCUUCGAUCUCCUCAUCGG
Molecule: long non-coding RNA, 2099 nt
Organism: Oryzias melastigma (Indian medaka)
Lineage: Eukaryota; Metazoa; Chordata; Actinopteri; Beloniformes; Adrianichthyidae
Exons: 4
Source: RefSeq, a predicted model, not a curated record